Molecule: ribosomal RNA, 1982 nt
Filed under: human gut metagenome
Description: bacterial LSU rRNA
Rfam family: Bacterial large subunit ribosomal RNA
Source: RNAcentral
UUAAGAUAGUAAGAGCAUACGGUGGAUGCCUUGGCGAUAUCUGCCGAUGAAGGACGCGACAAGCUGCGAAAAGCUGCGGUGAGGUGCAAAUGACCUUUGACCCGCAGAUGUCCGAAUGGAGCAAUCCGGCUGUGGUUAUGCACAGUCACCCAUGCCUGUGAGUAUGGGAGGGAACCAGGCGAACUGAAACAUCUAAGUAGCCUGAGGAGAAGUAAUCAAACGAGAUACCCCCAGUAGCGGCGAGCGAACGGGGCAGAAGCCCAAACCGCAGAAGGAAACUUUUACGGGGUUGAGGGCCGUCAUACGAACGUGGAAUCCAGCUGAAGCUUCUGGGAAGGAGCGCCGCAGGAUGUGAAAGCCAUGUAAGCGAAAGAGGAAGCGGAACAGACGGUACCAGAGUACCGCGGGACACGAGAAACCCCGUGGGAAGCAGGGGGGACCACCCUCCAAGGCAAAACACAGAUAUCGACCGAUAGCGCAUAGUACCAUGAGGGAAAGGUGAAAAGCACCCCGGGAGGGGAAUGAAACAGAACCUGAAACCGUAUGUUUACAAGCAGUCGGAGACCGUAUAUAUAUCAGGUCGACGGCGUGCCUAUUGAAGAAUGAACCGGCGAGUUAUGAGGUCCAGCGAGGUUAAGCAGGAAAUGCGGAGCCGAAGCGAAAGCGAGUCUUAACAGGGCGAGUAGUUGGACUGCAUAGACCCGAAACCACAGUGAUCUACCCAUGUCCAGGUUGAAGCACAGGUAAAAAUGUGUGGAGGACCGAACCUAUAUCCGUUGAAAAGGGUUAGGAUGAGGUGUGGGUAGGGGUGAAAUUCCAAUCGAACGUGGAGAUAGCUGGUUCUCCCCGAAAUAGCUUUAGGGCUAGCCUCAGGGUAAAGAUUGCAGGCGGUAGAGCACUGAUCAGGAGAGGGACCUACCCGGUUACCAAACCCAGUCAAACUACGAAUGGCUGCAAUUAUACCUGGGAGUCAGACUACGACUUAUAAGGGCCGUGGUCAAAAGGGAAACAGCCCAGAUCAUCAGCUAAGGUCCCAAAUGCCGUGCUAAGUGGCGAAGGAUGUGGCGUUUCAUAAACAACCAGGAUGUUGGCUCAGAAGCAGCCACCAUUUAAAGAGUGCGUAAUAGCUCACUGGUCGAGAGACGCUGCGCCGAAAAUGUCCGGGGCUCAAGCACGGAACCGAAGCUAUGGCAUUGCGUAAGCAAUGGGUAGGGGAGCGUUCUUAUGGGGAAGAAGCAUUACCGUAAGGAGAUGUGGACACAUAAGAAGUGAGAAUGCCGGUAUGAGUAUCGAAAAGAAAGGUGAGAAUCCUUUCCACCGAAAGCCCGAGGGUUCCUGAGCAACGAUCGUCGUCUCAGGGUAAGUCGGGACCUAAGCCGAGGCACAGACGCAUAGGCGAUGGACAACAGGUUGAAAUUCCUGUACCGGAUGGAGUCAUUUGAGCAAUGGAGUGACGCAGGAGGGCACAUGAUCGCGCGACUGGAAGAGCGCGUCCAAGUGCGUAUGUUGAAUCGGAGGCAAAUCCCCGAUUCUGAAAGCAGAGACAUGAUGGGGAGUUAUAAGCGAUUAUGACGAACUCAUGGAUCCCACACUGCCAAGAAAAACUUCUAGCGAGACGAAAUCCGCCCGUACCGUAAACCGACACAGGUAGGCGGGGAGAGAAUCCUAAGGUGCGCGGGAAAACCCUCGUUAAGGAACUCGGCAAAUUGCAUCCGUAACUUCGGGAGAAGGAUGGCCCUGAGUAGGCGAAGUGCAGAAACGCACGGAACAGAAAAGGGUGGCAGAAAAGAGGCCCAAGCAACUGUUUACCAAAAACACAGGUGCCUGCGAAAGCGAAAGCUGAAGUAUAGGUGCUGACGCCUGCCCGGUGCUGGAAGGUUAAGGAGAGAGGUUAGCGCAAGCGAAGCUUUGAACUGAAGCCCCAGUGAACGGCGGCCGUAACUAUAACGGUCCUAAGGUAGCGAAAUUCCUUGUCGGGUAAG